RNAcentral lists this ribosomal RNA (119 nucleotides) under Vibrio cidicii. RNAcentral's name for it is "partial 16S ribosomal RNA". It matches the Rfam family "Bacterial small subunit ribosomal RNA", at positions 1 to 110 of the family's 1533-position model. The record is from RNAcentral. Lineage: Bacteria; Pseudomonadati; Pseudomonadota; Gammaproteobacteria; Vibrionales; Vibrionaceae.
UUUAAUUGAAGAGUUUGAUCAUGGCUCAGAUUGAACGCUGGCGGCAGGCCUAACACAUGCAAGUCGAGCGGCAGCACAGAGAAACUUGUUUCUUGGGUGGCGAGCGGCGGACGGGUGAG